UCCUCCACCUUGAUCUUUAACUGAAGUGCA
Molecule: non-coding RNA, 30 nt
Filed under: Rattus norvegicus (Norway rat)
Lineage: Eukaryota; Metazoa; Chordata; Mammalia; Rodentia; Muridae
Source: RNAcentral